RNAcentral lists this long non-coding RNA (1140 nucleotides) under Oryctolagus cuniculus (rabbit). Its description in RNAcentral is "lncRNA (ENSOCUG00000035757.1)". Lineage: Eukaryota; Metazoa; Chordata; Mammalia; Lagomorpha; Leporidae. The record is from RNAcentral.
AUGAGCUUUCACCGAGGGCUUCUGCAGUCCCCACUAACGCUUACUCCGGCAGACGGAGCUGCCCAAAGCCCAUGGUGGAGCCAUCACCAACCCACCUCCAUCCCUGUGCCACCAUAUGCCUGCCCCAGACACUGGAGCUACUGCUGUCAUGACGAUGCCCAGGCCACAGACCCCCGCAUGGCCAACACUGCUCACGUCCAUGGUUCAGAACCCAGCACCACCCCUACCGCGAGGCAGCCUCCAUCCCAGCUCUUCAUGUGUUCCCGGAGCCCAAACCAGUCACCUCGCAUGCUCGCUCCCGCCAUGGUCUCCUCUCCUCGGCGGUCACCCCCAGUCUCACCCCUGCUCAGCCCGCCCGUCGCCUCAUUCUCUGACCCGCACAGCGCGUCUCCUCCGCCCGCACUUCACCUCGGCCGCAGUCCCUCACGCCACGUCUCUGCCCCGAACCUCCUGUCAUGUUACUUCUCGCCUCCUCCGCCAGCCCCGACACUUCCGUCCGGCCUCCUCAGCCGGCCAGCAGCAGUCCUGUCCAGUCCUGUCCCCUCUGCCUGUCACACACGUCACUUCCUGUGUCCUGGGCCCACCACGUCACAUCCCUCCUGGUCUCCUCAGCCCGCCUCGUCCCGUCCGCCUGCAUAUGCAGUAUCUCAACGCCUCCCUGACUCGGCACCGUGUACGCAGUCGGAAGCUGCAGACACAGGACGUGCGACACCCACAUGGCCUCACCUGGAGGAGCAGCCUCACGUCAGGAUGUCCGUCCUUGUGCGCGAGAACACGCGUCACAUGCCGCAGGCUCACUCCCUGCACAGCACCGCAAGGUCUCCAGGACCCCGCACGCCUGCGUCCCGGGCCCCGUGCGAAGGCCGCACCCGGCCCCAGUCGGGCGGCGGUGCUGGACUUGGUUCCAGGGCCCCGGGAGCCCCAGGGCCCACUCCGGCCGGGGCCUCCACAGCAGCCCUCAAACGGCGGGAAAGGCCACGUGGGCAGAGGCCACGCCCCUCGUGCGUCAUCGGCGCAGGCCCCGCCCAGCCACGCCUCAGCGCCGCGGUCCCUCAGGCGGCCGAGGCCGCGCGCACCGACUGCACAGGGACGCCUCAGCCUGCCUUCACCCUGGAGGACGUCGGCGGCUGGAGCCCUUGA